This is a long non-coding RNA of Orcinus orca (killer whale), 799 nucleotides long. RefSeq lists it as uncharacterized. The record is from RefSeq and is a predicted model, not a curated record. The transcript is spliced from 4 exons. NCBI's taxonomy places the organism in Eukaryota, Metazoa, Chordata, Mammalia, Artiodactyla, Delphinidae.
AAGGAGGCCCGCGAGCUGCAUGGGUUUGUGACUGGGCGCUUGUGGUUCGGGGCCCUGUGCUGGCACCGGGGGCGCCGGGUUGGCGACUUUUGCACUCUUGGCAUUGGGUGGGCGGCAUCUUGGGGGUCGCAUGAGCCAGUGGCAUCAUGCCCGUGGGCGCUGGGGUCAGCGUCGCGGCUUUUCCGGACGGACGUUCGUCGGCCAGGAGGAAGGGCGGAAAGCACAUCUCGGAAAGGUGGAAAGACUAUCUCCCAGUUGAACAGCGGAUGCCUGGGACUCGUUUCAUUGCUUUCAAAGUUCCUUAAAAAAAGAGUUUUGAAAAGAAUCUUGCUCCAGAAGAACGUUUCUCCCCCUUGGAUCUCUUAACAAAAUCCAAGGACAGAAUGAAGAACUUGGGCUGAUUAUUGACUUAACAAAUACUCGCCGCUAUUACAAGCCAGAGGACUUACCAGAAACUAUUCCUUAUUUAAAAAGUUGUCCAAUUGGGCAUCAGGUGUCAGAUGACGACGCUAGUUUUAAAUUCCAGUGUGUUGUUAAUGGGUUUCUGAAAGAACAUAAAGAUAACGGUGAGUUGCUUUUGUUUUUGUUUUUGUUUUUCCUUUACCUGAACUUUGGUAUGCAUUUUGAGUGGGCUUGGGGGUUUUUAACAUUUUUAAUAGUUCUGACAUUAGUGUCAAGUUGUGUUUGGUAACAUUAAGGUGGAAAUGUCAGAUGGUGCUAAUAGAGUACGGUGUUUUUCCUGUUUAUGGUCACAAACAAUUUAGUUUAGUUUGGAAAGUGAUUUUUGUGAGAAAUAUGA